Molecule: ribosomal RNA, 477 nt
Filed under: uncultured bacterium
Lineage: Bacteria
Description: partial 16S ribosomal RNA
Rfam family: Bacterial small subunit ribosomal RNA
Source: RNAcentral
AUUGAACGCUGGCGGCAUGCCUAACACAUGCAAGUCGAACGGUAACAGGUUAAGCUGACGAGUGGCGAACGGGUGAGUAAUGUAUCGGAAAGAGCCGAGUCGUGGGGGAUAACGGCUGGAAAGAGCAGCUAAUACCGCAUACGACCUGAGGGAGAAAGCGGGGGAUCGCAAGACAGGGGGCGAUUGGAGCGGCCGAUAUCAGAUUAGGUAGUUGGUGAGGUAAAGGCUCACCAAGCCGACGAUCUGUAGCUGGUCUGAGAGGACGACCAGCCACACUGGGACUGAGACACGGCCCAGACUCCUACGGGAGGCAGCAGUGGGGAAUUUUGGACAAUGGGCGCAAGCCUGAUCCAGCCAUGCCGCGUGCGGGAAGAAGGCCUUCGGGUUGUAAACCGCUUUUGUCAGGGAAGAAAAGGUUCUGGCUAAUACCUGGGACUCAUGACGGUACCUGAAGAAUAAGCACCGGCUAACUACGUG